Molecule: long non-coding RNA, 1082 nt
Filed under: Ursus americanus (American black bear)
Lineage: Eukaryota; Metazoa; Chordata; Mammalia; Carnivora; Ursidae
Description: lncRNA (ENSUAMG00000007099.1)
Source: RNAcentral
AUGGAUCUGGUGGUGGAAGUGGUGGAUAUGGUAGCAGAAGGUUCUAAAAAAAAAUUCAGAAGAAAAGGGUUGAAUGAGAACCCUUCUUGCCUAAAUGAGGAAUGUCUUUCCUACCAUCUUAAAUACGAAGGUUUCUGGCUGGGUAAGGUUUGUAGCUCACAGUAAAAGCUGAUGACACCAUUUGUUUCCCUACAAGUACACCUUACACAUUUUCAAACUAGUAGGUACAUUGGCAAAAUUAUUCAGCUGAACACUGAGAACCACAUCCAACACACAAAACCGUUUAAGGCCCUGCAACAACCAUGAGUAUCUUGAGUCAGAUGUGGCCCAUGUAUAUAAUUCAUUCUUGGUGUCUUUAGGGUACAGGUGAUUUUUGGUAAGAGAAGUAAGGUAAUAAGCAUGACACAACAAAAGCACUAAAGUGCCAAUCCUCAUUUGUCAGGUGAACAGAUAGAAAAAUGGUCUUCAUUCAAGUGGCCUCAUAAAUUCUCUUGCAUAUAAAUUCAGGGAAUUAUUUGAACUAAUAAGAUACAUUUUUGGUUCUUUUUAUCCAGUUGUCCAGAACUAGUAGGGCCUAAUUAUGCUAAUGUUUCCUUUUUAAAAGAUUUCCCAAAGAAUGAUUAAGAUAUUAGUUACUAUUCAUAUCAGUUGCUGGUUAUUCAUAAGGGCUAUUGCGCCUCAAAAGGGCUUGUUAAAAAUUGAGAUUUGAGGGGUACCUGGCUGGCUCAGUCGGUAGAGCACGCAAUUCACACUUGGGUUUAUGAGUUUAAGCCCCAUAUUGGGCAAACACUUGGACAGGCAUCAUACAGUUUCUAAAUUAUAAGGUUUAUAAGUAGAUAGGUUAGUUUGCCUAAGUUUAUUCUCAGAAAAUGACUGGUUGGCUCUAUUUCCGUACCUAAAUCAGGACUGAAUUUCUACACAUAGAAUGAAGUGUUGAAGAAGGUAAUAGUCUUUUAAUGAUAAAUUUUCUUUACUGGUUUUAGUGUGAAAUUAAGACAGGAAACAUUUUUUAAAAGGCAUUGUUCUUUACAGUCCAUCUCAUUUCUUAUGAAAUAAAGUGAUUUUAUUUAAAUGUAGCUCCA